Molecule: ribosomal RNA, 138 nt
Filed under: uncultured bacterium
Lineage: Bacteria
Description: partial 16S ribosomal RNA
Rfam family: Bacterial small subunit ribosomal RNA
Source: RNAcentral
GUGGGGAAUUUUCCGCAAUGGGCGAAAGCCUGACGGAGCAACGCCGCGUGAGGGAUGAAGGCCUCUGGGCUGUAAACCUCUUUUAUCAAGGAAGAAGAUCUGACGGUACUUGAUGAAUAAGCCACGGCUAAUUCCGUG